Molecule: ribosomal RNA, 449 nt
Filed under: uncultured bacterium
Lineage: Bacteria
Description: partial 16S ribosomal RNA
Rfam family: Bacterial small subunit ribosomal RNA
Source: RNAcentral
AGCGAACGCUGGCGGCAGGCCUAACACAUGCAAGUCGAACGGACCCUUCGGGGUUAGUGGCGGACGGGUGAGUAACACGUGGGAACGUGCCUUUAGGUUCGGAAUAGCUCCUGGAAACGGGUGGUAAUGCCGAAUGUGCCCUCCGGGGGAAAGAUUUAUCGCCUUUAGAGCGGCCCGCGGCUGAUUAGCUAGUCGGUGAGGUAAUGGCUCACCAAGGCGACGAUCAGUAGCUGGUCUGGGAGGAUGACCAGCCACACUGGGACUGAGACACGGCCCAGACUCCUACGGGAGGCAGCAGUGGGGAAUCUUGCGCAAUGGGCGAAAGCCUGACGCAGCCAUGCCGCGUGAAUGAUGAAGGUCUUAGGAUUGUAAAAUUCUUUCACCGGGGACGAUAAUGACGGUACCCGGAGAAGAAGCCCCGGCUAACUUCGUGCCAGCCGCCGCGGUAA